Molecule: transfer RNA, 74 nt
Filed under: Rhodospirillaceae bacterium
Lineage: Bacteria; Pseudomonadati; Pseudomonadota; Alphaproteobacteria; Rhodospirillales; Rhodospirillaceae
Description: tRNA-Lys
Rfam family: tRNA
About the family: Transfer RNA (tRNA) molecules are approximately 80 nucleotides in length. Their secondary structure includes four short double-helical elements and three loops (D, anti-codon, and T loops). Further hydrogen bonds mediate the characteristic L-shaped molecular structure. tRNAs have two regions of fundamental functional importance: the anti-codon, which is responsible for specific mRNA codon recognition, and the 3' end, to which the tRNAs corresponding amino acid is attached (by aminoacyl-tRNA synthetases). tRNAs cope with the degeneracy of the genetic code in two manners: having more than one tRNA (with a specific anti-codon) for a particular amino acid; and 'wobble' base-pairing, i.e. permitting non-standard base-pairing at the 3rd anti-codon position.
Source: RNAcentral
CCGUCCUUGGCAUAUCGGUCGUGCACCGGGCUUUUAACCCGGAGAGGAAGGUUCGAUUCCUUCAGGGCGGACCA